AGGAAAGUAGGGGAUCGCAAGACCUUGCGCUUUUGGAGCGGCCGAUGUCUGAUUAGCUAGUUGGUGAGGUAAGGCUUACCAAGGCGUCGAUCAGUAGCUGGUCUGAGAGGACGACCAGCCACACUGGGACUGAGACACGGCCCAGACUCCUACGGGAGGCAGCAGUGGGGAAUUUUGGACAAUGGGGGAAACCCUGAUCCAGCCAUGCCGCGUGAGUGAAGAAGGCCUUCGGGUUGUAAAGCUCUUUCAGCCGGAACGAAACGGUCACAGCUAAUACCUGUGACUACUGACGGUACCGGAAGAAGAAGCACCGGCUAACUACGUGCCAGCAGCCGCGGUAAUACGUAGGGUGCGAGCGUUAAUCGGAAUUACUGGGCGUAAAGCGUGCGCAGGCGGUUUUGUAAGUCAGAUGUGAAAUCCCCGGGCUUAACCUGGGAACUGCGUUUGAAACUACAAAGCU
RNAcentral lists this ribosomal RNA (460 nucleotides) under uncultured beta proteobacterium. RNAcentral's name for it is "bacterial SSU rRNA". It matches the Rfam family "Bacterial small subunit ribosomal RNA", at positions 190 to 642 of the family's 1533-position model. Lineage: Bacteria; Pseudomonadati; Pseudomonadota; Betaproteobacteria. The record is from RNAcentral.